RNAcentral lists this ribosomal RNA (865 nucleotides) under uncultured Planctomycetota bacterium. RNAcentral describes it as "bacterial SSU rRNA". It matches the Rfam family "Bacterial small subunit ribosomal RNA", at positions 28 to 895 of the family's 1533-position model. Lineage: Bacteria; Pseudomonadati; Planctomycetota. The record is from RNAcentral.
AACGAACGCUGGCGGUGUGGCUAAGACAUGCAAGUCGAACGGGCCAUUCUGAUGAGUAAUCUGAUGAAUGGUUAGUGGCGCAAGGGUUAGUAAUGGAUAGGUAACGUACCCUUUGCUUCGGGAUAGCGUCCUGAAAGGGGCGGUAAUACCGGAAAUGUCAUUUGUCGAUGGGCAGAUGACCAAAGAUUUAUCGGCGAAGGAGCGGCCUAUCUCCUAUCAGCUUGUUGGUGAGGUAAAAGCUCACCAAGGCUAAGACGGGUAGCGGGACUGAGAGGUUGACCCGCAACAUCGGGACUGAGACACUGCCCGGACCCCCACGGGGGGCUGCAGUAACGAAUAUUGCGCAAUGGGCGAAAGCCUGACGCAGCGACGCCGCGUGCGGGAGGAAGUCUUUCGGGAUGUAAACCGCUGUCAGGGUGAAGAAAGUCCGUUUAGGCGGAUUGAUCUAACCCAAAGGAAGUCACGGCUAACUUCGUGCCAGCAGCCGCGGUAAGACGAAGGUGGCAAGCGUUGUUCGGUAUCACUGGGCUUAAAGCGUGUGUAGGCGGAAAGGUAAGCGUUUUGUGAAAUCCCCCGGCUCAACCGGGGAAUGGCUGGGCGAACUGCCUUUCUUGAGGUAGGCAGGGGUGCAUGGAACUCUUGGUGGAGCGGUGGAAUGCGUAGAUAUCAAGAGGAACGCCGGUGGUGAAAACGGUGCACUGGGCCUGCUCUGACGCUGAGACACGAAAGCGUGGGGAGCGAACGGGAUUAGAUACCCCGGUAGUCCACGCUGUAAACGAUGUCUACUAGGUUGUGGUCGUUCUGACACGUUCACGGCCGAAGCGAAAGUGUUAAGUAGACCGCCUGGGGAGACGGUCGCAAGGCU